Non-coding RNA from Sturnus vulgaris (Common starling), 373 nucleotides. The record is from RefSeq and is a predicted model, not a curated record. NCBI's taxonomy places the organism in Eukaryota, Metazoa, Chordata, Aves, Passeriformes, Sturnidae.
CCCCUACACAUCACUCCCACCCUUCUUCUGGUGCAAGCGCUACUAAAUCUCACCCUAACGUUUCCCCGCUUUAGGAGAGACUUGCAGGACUGUUAGAAGGACCCAGGUGGCCACGACAGCAGCGACAGAGGCGCAGUGACACGUUUACCUGCCGCAGGACACGCCGAGCCCCUUGUCUUGCCCGUGACAAUGUACACCUCGGGAUUUCCUUUCCCCCGCGGGCAUCAAAGGUUACCGCAAGCAUCGCCAGCCUUGAAGAGAUGUUUUAAGAUUCAAAGGUUUACAGGACGUGCCAGUUCAGAAUCCGCGGCAAACUAAAGCACCCACGGACGGCACUUGUGAAGGCAGGCAGCCCGUGUCCGUGCGGGGGGAU